CUGCAGCUCCUGAAGCCUGCACACCACAGCUGCAGUAGCCCGUUUGCGGCAACUAGAGGAAGCCCGAGCAUAAAACCAAGACCCAGCGCAGCCAAAACUAAAUGAAAAGGAGAUGUAAAAGGAGAAAGCGCUUAUCAUCGCCUUUAACCCACACUGGCCAGCACUUCAGGGCAACACCGAGCUGGUAGCAGCGGUCACCCGUGGCAGACUCUGGGACAGGGUGACUCAGGACGUGUCCACCCCAACACUUCGGCCUCUAAAAUGGGUGCAGCUGUGGUGGCCACGUGGCCCGGUGCUGACAACCAAGUCUGCUAGAGGUUUGGGGAAAGUGCUGGCUUUCCUGAUAGGAGACUGCUCCUUCCUCUCCCGGGAACUCAGAUGCAACGCUUGGAGGCGUAGCACCAUUUUGCACCCGAGAGGCAUCUGAGGACAAAAGCCACACACAGCGGACGACACACGAAAGAACCCCGGGCCUGGGACGGAGCCUGAGCGGCUGUUUCACCACCGACAUUCAACUUCCUAGUUCUUGUUGCGGGCUUUCAGCUGUUUUUCUCACAUCAGUCCUCCCCGCAGCUGCCCUCCUCACCAGUGCAGCAUCUGGGUUCCCCGCGGCUGCCCUCCUCACCGGCGCGGCAUCUGGGUUCCCCGCACUACCUGCCUCACCGGCGCAGCAUCUGGGUCUGUAACCAGACCAGGUUUGGUCUUCCCCGUGCACAGCAAGCCAAGAUCCUGAGACGCCCAGCCUUGUAGCCAAGCAAGAACUAGUCUCAGACGCGCCUUUCCCCCAGCUCAGCUCAAGUGAGACACAGCUGACCCCAAGGUCCUAGAAACAAGGUGGGCAAAUCCCUCAAAGUCUGCCUCCUGGAGGACGAGCACGUUCUGAAAGGCCCUGAGGGGCUUCCCAGACGGUCCAGUGGCCGGGACUCCACGCUUCCAGCACAGUGGCACGGGGUCAAUCUCUGGUCAAGGAACUAAGGCCCCCCAUUCCGUGAGGCCUGCCCAGAAAGAAUUUCUUUUCUCAAUUAAAAAAGAAACAAAAAGAGAAAAGAUUCUGUUCAGUGAUGGCAGGGGAAUGAAUUUGACCGAUCACCCCCAGGUUCGGCCUCCCC
This is a long non-coding RNA of Bos taurus (domestic cattle), 1109 nucleotides long. The record is from Ensembl. NCBI's taxonomy places the organism in Eukaryota, Metazoa, Chordata, Mammalia, Artiodactyla, Bovidae.